This 375-nucleotide ribosomal RNA is filed under the name Triticum aestivum (bread wheat). RNAcentral's name for it is "partial small subunit ribosomal RNA". The record is from RNAcentral. Lineage: Eukaryota; Viridiplantae; Streptophyta; Magnoliopsida; Poales; Poaceae.
AUGUCUGUCGAGGUGCUUUCUUAUUUAUUUGACAUGAUAAAGCAUGGACCUUCUUGCUCGUUCGUCGCUACGCAUCUCAGCUCCAGUAACCAGGUUGCGAUGGCUGACGAUGAGCUCCAGGUUCAUGGCUCGCCAGGCUCCUCUUCGGUCGUCGCUACGCAUCUCAGCUCCAGUAAACAGGUCGCGAUGGCUGACGAUGAGCUCCAGGUUCAUGGCUCACCAGGCUCCGCUGGCUCCACCAACAGUUGUCUACGAACACUUGCACAGAUUAUACUAUCGUAUCAGUCUUCACUUCUGAGCUACUCUUGCUAUGAUUCACGCAUACUUGAUGGAAACCCAGUGAGUGUUCAGGAUCCCACACAGAACAGUUCUUGA